This 504-nucleotide ribosomal RNA is filed under the name Triticum aestivum (bread wheat). RNAcentral's name for it is "partial small subunit ribosomal RNA". Lineage: Eukaryota; Viridiplantae; Streptophyta; Magnoliopsida; Poales; Poaceae. The record is from RNAcentral.
AUGAUGAAACUCUUAGAAUUCAAUUUCACUAUCCAGUACAAGAAAGGAGUGCAAAACAAAGUUGCAGAUGCUUUGUCUAGACUAUUGCCAAGUUGUUUCACCCUAUCUGCUGUGACUCCUACAUGGGCAGAAGAUCUAGUGGAAAGUUAUAAGGAGGAUCCACAGUCUCAACAGUUACUGGAAAAGUUGUUAGUGCAAAAACAGGAUAAUUCUUCAGAUUACAGCCUACAUUCUGGGAUCAUGAGAUUCAAGGGCAAGCUAUGGGUUGGCAAGUCUGCAGAGUUAAGAAAGAAACUAAUGUAUGCUCUUCAUAAUUCUCCUAUUGGAGGCCACUCAGGAGUGAGAGCUACAUAUAACAGGGUGAAGAACAUCUUUUUCUGGCCAGGACUUAAACAAGAUGUAGAGGCUUUUAUUGCAGCUUGUCCUAUUUGUCAACGAGCAAAACAUGAGAAUUGCUUGCAACCUGGCCUGCUGGACCCCCUCCCUGUUGCAGACAUGGCUUAG